UACGGAGGGUGCAAACGUUGCUCGGAAUUAUUGGGCGUAAAGCGCAUGUAGGCGGACUUUCAAGUCGGGUGUGAAAUCCCUCAGCUUAACUGAGGACGUGCAUUCGAAACUGUUAGUCUUGAGUAUGGAAGAGGAUCGCGGAAUUCCCGGUGUAGAAGUGAAAUUCGUAGAUAUCGGGAGGAACACCAGUGGCGAAGGCGGCGAUCUGGUCCAAUACUGACGCUGAGAUGCGAAAGCGUGGGGAGCAAACAGG
Molecule: ribosomal RNA, 253 nt
Filed under: uncultured bacterium
Lineage: Bacteria
Description: partial 16S ribosomal RNA
Rfam family: Bacterial small subunit ribosomal RNA
Source: RNAcentral